GUUGUAUGGUUAAGUGACUAAGCGUACACGGUGGAUGCCUGGGCAGUCAGAGGCGAUGAAGGACGUACUAACUUGCGAUAAGCGCAGAUAAGGCAGUAAGAGCCGUUUGAGUCUGCGAUUUCCGAAUGGGGAAACCCAACUGCAUAAGCAGUUACUGUUAACUGAAUACAUAGGUUAACAGAGCAAACCGGGGGAACUGAAACAUCUAAGUACCCCGAGGAGAAGAAAUCAACCGAGAUUCCGGUAGUAGCGGCGAGCGAACCUGGAUUAGCCCUUAAGCACUCGGUGAAGUAGGUGAACAAGCUGGAAAGCUUGGCGAUACAGGGUGAUAGCCCCGUAACCGACGCUUCAUCGAGCGUGAAAUCGAGUAGGGCGGGACACGUGAUAUCCUGUCUGAAUAUGGGGGGACCAUCCUCCAAGGCUAAAUACUCCUGACUGACCGAUAGUGAACCAGUACCGUGAGGGAAAGGCGAAAAGAACCCCUGUGAGGGGAGUGAAAUAGAACCUGAAACCGUGUACGUACAAGCAGUAGGAGCACCUUCGUGGUGUGACUGCGUACCUUUUGUAUAAUGGGUCAGCGACUUAUAUUCAGUGGCAAGGUUAACCGUAUAGGGGAGCCGUAGCGAAAGCGAGUCUUAACUGGGCGCUCAGUCUCUGGAUAUAGACCCGAAACCGGGUGAUCUAGCCAUGGGCAGGUUGAAGGUUGAGUAACAUCAACUGGAGGACCGAACCGACUAAUGUUGAAAAAUUAGCGGAUGACUUGUGGCUAGGGGUGAAAGGCCAAUCAAACUCGGAGAUAGCUGGUUCUCCCCGAAAGCUAUUUAGGUAGCGCCUCGGACGAAUACUACUGGGGGUAGAGCACUGUUAAGGCUAGGGGGUCAUCCCGACUUACCAACCCUUUGCAAACUCCGAAUACCAGUAAGUACUAUCCGGGAGACACACGGCGGGUGCUAACGUCCGUCGUGGAGAGGGAAACAACCCAGACCGCCAGCUAAGGUCCCAAAGUAUUGCUAAGUGGGAAACGAUGUGGGAAGGCUCAGACAGCUAGGAUGUUGGCUUAGAAGCAGCCAUCAUUUAAAGAAAGCGUAAUAGCUCACUAGUCGAGUCGGCCUGCGCGGAAGAUGUAACGGGGCUAAGCAAUACACCGAAGCUGCGGCAAUAUCUUUUAGAUAUUGGGUAGGGGAGCGUUCUGUAAGCCGUUGAAGGUGAAUCGUAAGGUUUGCUGGAGGUAUCAGAAGUGCGAAUGCUGACAUGAGUAACGACAAAGGGGGUGAAAAACCUCCUCGCCGGAAGACCAAGGGUUCCUGUCCAACGUUAAUCGGGGCAGGGUGAGUCGACCCCUAAGGUGAGGCCGAAAGGCGUAAUCGAUGGGAAACGGGUUAAUAUUCCCGUACUUCUGACUAUUGCGAUGGGGGACGGAGAAGGCUAGGUGGGCCAGGCGACGGUUGUCCUGGUUCAAGUGCGUAGGCUUGAGAGUUAGGUAAAUCCGGCUCUCUUUAAGGCUGAGACACGACGUCGAGCUGCUACGGCAGUGAAGUCAUUGAUGCCAUGCUUCCAGGAAAAGCCUCUAAGCUUCAGAUAGUUAGGAAUCGUACCCCAAACCGACACAGGUGGUCGGGUAGAGAAUACCAAGGCGCUUGAGAGAACUCGGGUGAAGGAACUAGGCAAAAUGGUACCGUAACUUCGGGAGAAGGUACGCUCUUGAUGGUGAAGUCCCUCGCGGAUGGAGCUGACGAGAGUCGCAGAUACCAGGUGGCUGCAACUGUUUAUUAAAAACACAGCACUGUGCAAAAUCGCAAGAUGACGUAUACGGUGUGACGCCUGCCCGGUGCCGGAAGGUUAAUUGAUGGGGUUAGCGCAAGCGAAGCUCUUGAUCGAAGCCCCGGUAAACGGCGGCCGUAACUAUAACGGUCCUAAGGUAGCGAAAUUCCUUGUCGGGUAAGUUCCGACCUGCACGAAUGGCGUAAUGAUGGCCACGCUGUCUCCACCCGAGACUCAGUGAAAUUGAAAUCGCUGUGAAGAUGCAGUGUACCCGCGGCUAGACGGAAAGACCCCGUGAACCUUUACUACAGCUUGGCACUGAACAUUGAACCUACAUGUGUAGGAUAGGUGGGAGGCUAUGAAGACGUGACGCCAGUUGCGUUGGAGCCGUCCUUGAAAUACCACCCUUGUAUGUUUGAUGUUCUAACUUAGACCCGUUAUCCGGGUUGAGGACAGUGCCUGGUGGGUAGUUUGACUGGGGCGGUCUCCUCCCAAAGAGUAACGGAGGAGCACGAAGGUGGGCUAAUCACGGUUGGACAUCGUGAGGUUAGUGCAAUGGCAUAAGCCCGCUUAACUGCGAGAAUGACGGUUCGAGCAGGUGCGAAAGCAGGUCAUAGUGAUCCGGUGGUUCUGUAUGGAAGGGCCAUCGCUCAACGGAUAAAAGGUACUCCGGGGAUAACAGGCUGAUACCGCCCAAGAGUUCAUAUCGACGGCGGUGUUUGGCACCUCGAUGUCGGCUCAUCACAUCCUGGGGCUGAAGUCGGUCCCAAGGGUAUGGCUGUUCGCCAUUUAAAGUGGUACGCGAGCUGGGUUUAGAACGUCGUGAGACAGUUCGGUCCCUAUCUGCCGUGGGCGUUGGAAGAUUGAAGGGGGCUGCUCCUAGUACGAGAGGACCGGAGUGGACGAACCUCUGGUGUUCGGGUUGUGUCGCCAGACGCAUUGCCCGGUAGCUAAGUUCGGAAUUGAUAAGCGCUGAAAGCAUCUAAGCGCGAAGCGAGCCCUGAGAUGAGUCUUCCCUGAUACUUUAAGUAUCCUAAAGGGUUGUUCGAGACUAGAACGUUGAUAGGCAGGGUGUGUAAGCGUUGUGAGGCGUUGAGCUAACCUGUACUAAUUGCCCGUGAGGCUUAACCAUACAACACCCAAGGGGUUUUGUA
RNAcentral lists this ribosomal RNA (2915 nucleotides) under Vibrio cholerae. RNAcentral's name for it is "bacterial LSU rRNA". It matches the Rfam family "Bacterial large subunit ribosomal RNA". Lineage: Bacteria; Pseudomonadati; Pseudomonadota; Gammaproteobacteria; Vibrionales; Vibrionaceae. The record is from RNAcentral.